RNAcentral lists this ribosomal RNA (446 nucleotides) under uncultured bacterium. RNAcentral describes it as "partial 16S ribosomal RNA". It matches the Rfam family "Bacterial small subunit ribosomal RNA", at positions 338 to 795 of the family's 1533-position model. The record is from RNAcentral.
CCUACGGGGGGCAGCAGUCGAGAAUCAUUCACAAUGGGGGAAACCCUGAUGGUGCGACACCGCGUGGGGGAAUGAAGGUCUUCGGAUUGUAAACCCCUGUCAUGUGGGAGCAAAUUAAAAAGAUAGUACCACAAGAGGAAGAGACGGCUAACUCUGUGCCAGCAACCGCGGUAAUACAGAGGUCUCAAGCGUUGUUCGGAAUCACUGGGCGUAAAGCGUGCGUAGGGUGUUUCGUAAGUCGUGUGUGAAAGGCGCGGGCUCAACCCGCGGACGGCACAUGAUACUGCGAGACUAGAGUAGUGGAGGGGGAACCGGAAUUCUCGGUGUAGCAGUGAAAUGCGUAGAUAUCGAGAGGAACACUCGUGGCGAAGGCGGGUUCCUGGACAUUAACUGACGCUGAGGCACGAAGGCCAGGGGAGCGAAAGGGAUUAGAUACCCCGGUAGUC